UGGAAUAAUCUGUUCUGUGCUUGCAGCAACUACCUACCUGAACCAGUGAAGCUCUGUGUGGGAACGAGGAUCCCCCGGCACUCAACCACCUACCUGAACCAGUGAAGCUCCGUGUGGGAACGAGGAUCCCCCGGCACUGUGAGCAACGCAACCUGUGGAAUAAUCUGUUCGGUGCUUGUGGCAACUACCUACCUGAACCAGUGAGGCCCUGUGUGGGAACGAGGAUCCCCCAGUGCUGUGGGCAUCAGUGGAGUGUUCGCCCUGGCCUGACUGUGUUCGAUUCUGCCUCCAGGAGAAGCGGAGCGCGCCACGGACUGCUGGGCCAGAGCCCCGGCCCCAGUCAUUUCCCCAAGUGGCCCUGGAGGCAAAGGAGAGCCACAUUAAUUUUAAAGUUCCCUUUUUCCCUUCCCCCUUUUCCCUUUUUAAAUAUUUAAUAAAGUUUGUUUUAAUUAUA
Molecule: non-coding RNA, 454 nt
Organism: Paramisgurnus dabryanus
Lineage: Eukaryota; Metazoa; Chordata; Actinopteri; Cypriniformes; Cobitidae
Source: RefSeq, a predicted model, not a curated record